This is a long non-coding RNA of Passer domesticus (house sparrow), 451 nucleotides long. RefSeq lists it as uncharacterized. Lineage: Eukaryota; Metazoa; Chordata; Aves; Passeriformes; Passeridae. The record is from RefSeq and is a predicted model, not a curated record. The transcript has 2 exons.
AGUGUCCCUGCUGCCAACCGCGCCAGCCGCCCCAGCCGGCGGGAGGCCCCUUUCCGUGCGGGCAGUGCCAACGGGAGUUUGAAACCAUCAAGGAGAGGAACAAGCACAGGAGAAGACAUCGCCCACGCAAGGAUGCACAGCCUCUCCCCAAGAAGAAAAGGCCAAAUUAGCCCUGCAUUUGCCCCAGGCUAGCAAGAGUUAGGGAUCGAGAGGACUAGAUAGAAAUAAUACUGUUUUUCAAGUUUUUAGAAUUGUUUGUUCUUCUAUUAUUUUACGUGAUAGGAAUCUCUCUGUUUAUUAGUUAAGAUACAAUAGCAUUAUUAAAGAUGUUUAGUAGUGUUAGAUUUAUUAGUAAAUGUAAGAAGUUUGGUGUUUGCUAUGCUUCAACUUUUCACAUUUUGUCUUUGUUGAGACACGAUCUGUGUUUAUCAUUAAACCAAAGUUUGUUCCA